RNAcentral lists this ribosomal RNA (838 nucleotides) under uncultured Gemmatimonadota bacterium. RNAcentral describes it as "bacterial SSU rRNA". It matches the Rfam family "Bacterial small subunit ribosomal RNA", at positions 73 to 914 of the family's 1533-position model. The record is from RNAcentral. Lineage: Bacteria; Pseudomonadati; Gemmatimonadota.
CCUGUAGCAAUACAGGCAACCGGCGAACGGGUGCGUAACACGUGAGCAACCUACCGAACUGUGGGGGAUAGCCGGCCUAACGGCCGAGUAAUACCGCAUACGCUUUCGAUGAGGCAUUUCAUUGAAAGGAAACCUACGGGACAGAUCGAGGGGCUCGCGGCCUAUCAGCUAGUUGGCGAGGUAACGGCUCACCAAGGCGACGACGGGUAGCUGGUCUGAGAGGAUGGCCAGCCACAUUGGGACUGAGAUACGGCCCAGACUCCUACGGGAGGCAGCAGUGGGGAAUCUUGCGCAAUGGCCUAACGGCUGACGCCGCGACGCCGCGUGUGGGAUGAAGCUCUUCGGAGUGUAAACCACUGUUGCCCGGGACGAAUAGCUCGAUUAAUCGAGCCUGACGGUACCGGGUGAGGAAGCACCGGCUAACUCCGUGCCAGCAGCCGCGGUAAUACGGGGGGUGCGAGCGUUGUCCGGAAUCACUGGGCGUAAAGGGCGCGUAGGUGGUUUGAUAAGGGUGUGGUGAAAGUCCGGGGCUCAACCCCGGAUCUGCCGUGCCGACUGUCAAACUCGAGGGCUGUAGAGGCAGACGGAAUUCCGGGUGUAGCGGUGGAAUGCGUAGAGAUCCGGAGGAAGACCGGUGGCGAAGGCGGUCUGCUGGGCAGUUUCUGACACUGAUGCGCGACAGCGUGGGGAGCAAACAGGAUUAGAUACCCUGGUAGUCCACGCCGUAAACGAUGGGUACUAGGUGCCUGGGGGAGCGACCCUCUGGGUGCCGGCGCUAACGCAGGAAGUACCCCGCCUGGGGAGUACGACCGCAAGGUUGAAACUCAAAGGAAUUGAC